Molecule: ribosomal RNA, 433 nt
Filed under: uncultured bacterium
Lineage: Bacteria
Description: partial 16S ribosomal RNA
Rfam family: Bacterial small subunit ribosomal RNA
Source: RNAcentral
AACGAACGCUGGCGGCAUGCCUAACACAUGCAAGUCGAACGAGACCUUCGGGUCUAGUGGCGCACGGGUGCGUAACGCGUGGGAACCUGCCCUUAGGUUCGGAAUAACUCCCCGAAAGGGGUGCUAAUACCGGAUAAUGUCUUCGGACCAAAGAUUUAUCGACUUUGGAUGGGCCCGCGUUGGAUUAGCUAGUUGGUAGGGUAAAAGCCCACCAAGGCGACGAUCCAUAGCUGGUCUGAGAGGAUGAUCAGCCACACUGGGACUGAGACACGGCCCAGACUCCUACGGGAGGCAGCAGUGGGGAAUAUUGGACAAUGGGCGAAAGCCUGAUCCAGCAAUGCCGCGUGAGUGAUGAAGGCCUUAGGGUUGUAAAGCUCUUUUACCCGGGAUGAUAAUGACAGUACCGGGAGAAUAAGCUCCGGCUAACUCCGUG